UAUUGCACAAUGGGGGAAACCCUGAUGCAGCAACGCCGCGUGAGUGAAGAAGUAUAUCGGUAUGUAAAGCUCUCUCAGCAGGGAAGAAAAUGACGGUACCUGAGUAAGAAGCCCCGGCUAACUAAGAGACAGCAGCCGCGGUAAUACGUAGGGGGCAAGCGUUAUCCGGAUUUACCGGGUGUAAAGGGAGCGUAGACGGCGAUGCAAGUCUGAAGUGAAAGCCCGGGGCUCAACCCCGGGACUGCUUUGGAAACUGUAUGGCUGGAGUGCUGGAGAGGCAAGCGGAAUUCCUAGUGUAGCGGUGAAAUGCGUGGAUAUUAGGAAGAACACCAGUGGCGAAGGCGGCUUGCUGGACAGUAACUGACGUUGAGGCUCGAAAGCGUGGGGAGCAAACAGG
RNAcentral lists this ribosomal RNA (397 nucleotides) under uncultured bacterium. RNAcentral's name for it is "bacterial SSU rRNA". It matches the Rfam family "Bacterial small subunit ribosomal RNA", at positions 362 to 776 of the family's 1533-position model. The record is from RNAcentral.